This 2928-nucleotide ribosomal RNA is filed under the name Escherichia coli. RNAcentral's name for it is "bacterial LSU rRNA". It matches the Rfam family "Bacterial large subunit ribosomal RNA". The record is from RNAcentral. Lineage: Bacteria; Pseudomonadati; Pseudomonadota; Gammaproteobacteria; Enterobacterales; Enterobacteriaceae.
GGGUUGUGAGGUUAAGCGACUAAGCGUACACGGUGGAUGCCCUGGCAGUCAGAGGCGAUGAAGGACGUGCUAAUCUGCGAUAAGCGUCGGUAAGGUGAUAUGAACCGUUAUAACCGGCGAUUUCCGAAUGGGGAAACCCAGUGUGUUUCGACACACUAUCAUUAACUGAAUCCAUAGGUUAAUGAGGCGAACCGGGGGAACUGAAACAUCUAAGUACCCCGAGGAAAAGAAAUCAACCGAGAUUCCCCCAGUAGCGGCGAGCGAACGGGGAGCAGCCCAGAGCCUGAAUCAGUGUGUGUGUUAGUGGAAGCGUCUGGAAAGGCGCGCGAUACAGGGUGACAGCCCCGUACACAAAAAUGCACAUAUUGUGAGCUCGAUGAGUAGGGCGGGACACGUGGUAUCCUGUCUGAAUAUGGGGGGACCAUCCUCCAAGGCUAAAUACUCCUGACUGACCGAUAGUGAACCAGUACCGUGAGGGAAAGGCGAAAAGAACCCCGGCGAGGGGAGUGAAAAGAACCUGAAACCGUGUACGUACAAGCAGUGGGAGCACGCUUAGGCGUGUGACUGCGUACCUUUGUAUAAUGGGUCAGCGACUUAUAUUCUGUAGCAAGGUUAACCGAAUAGGGGAGCCGAAGGGAAACCGAGUCUUAACUGGGCGUUAAGUUGCAGGGUAUAGACCCGAAACCCGGUGAUCUAGCCAUGGGCAGGUUGAAGGUUGGGUAACACUAACUGGAGGACCGAACCGACUAAUGUUGAAAAAUUAGCGGAUGACUUGUGGCUGGGGGUGAAAGGCCAAUCAAACCGGGAGAUAGCUGGUUCUCCCCGAAAGCUAUUUAGGUAGCGCCUCGUGAAUUCAUCUCCGGGGGUAGAGCACUGUUUCGGCAAGGGGGUCAUCCCGACUUACCAACCCGAUGCAAACUGCGAAUACCGGAGAAUGUUAUCACGGGAGACACACGGCGGGUGCUAACGUCCGUCGUGAAGAGGGAAACAACCCAGACCGCCAGCUAAGGUCCCAAAGUCAUGGUUAAGUGGGAAACGAUGUGGGAAGGCCCAGACAGCCAGGAUGUUGGCUUAGAAGCAGCCAUCAUUUAAAGAAAGCGUAAUAGCUCACUGGUCGAGUCGGCCUGCGCGGAAGAUGUAACGGGGCUAAACCAUGCACCGAAGCUGCGGCAGCGACGCUGAUGCGUUGUUGGGUAGGGGAGCGUUCUGUAAGCCUGUGAAGGUGCGCUGUGAGGCAUGCUGGAGGUAUCAGAAGUGCGAAUGCUGACAUAAGUAACGAUAAAGCGGGUGAAAAGCCCGCUCGCCGGAAGACCAAGGGUUCCUGUCCAACGUUAAUCGGGGCAGGGUGAGUCGACCCCUAAGGCGAGGCCGAAAGGCGUAGUCGAUGGGAAACAGGUUAAUAUUCCUGUACUUGGUGUUACUGCGAAGGGGGGACGGAGAAGGCUAUGUUGGCCGGGCGACGGUUGUCCCGGUUUAAGCGUGUAGGCUGGUUUUCCAGGCAAAUCCGGAAAAUCAAGGCUGAGGCGUGAUGACGAGGUACUACGGUGCUGAAGCAACAAAUGCCCUGCUUCCAGGAAAAGCCUCUAAGCAUCAGGUAACAUCAAAUCGUACCCCAAACCGACACAGGUGGUCAGGUAGAGAAUACCAAGGCGCUUGAGAGAACUCGGGUGAAGGAACUAGGCAAAAUGGUGCCGUAACUUCGGGAGAAGGCACGCUGAUAUGUAGGUGAAGUCCCUCGCGGAUGGAGCUGAAAUCAGUCGAAGAUACCAGCUGGCUGCAACUGUUUAUUAAAAACACAGCACUGUGCAAACACGAAAGUGGACGUAUACGGUGUGACGCCUGCCCGGUGCCGGAAGGUUAAUUGAUGGGGUCAGCGCAAGCGAAGCUCUUGAUCGAAGCCCCGGUAAACGGCGGCCGUAACUAUAACGGUCCUAAGGUAGCGAAAUUCCUUGUCGGGUAAGUUCCGACCUGCACGAAUGGCGUAAUGAUGGCCAGGCUGUCUCCACCCGAGACUCAGUGAAAUUGAACUCGCUGUGAAGAUGCAGUGUACCCGCGGCAAGACGGAAAGACCCCGUGAACCUUUACUAUAGCUUGACACUGAACAUUGAGCCUUGAUGUGUAGGAUAGGUGGGAGGCUUUGAAGUGUGGACGCCAGUCUGCAUGGAGCCGACCUUGAAAUACCACCCUUUAAUGUUUGAUGUUCUAACGUUGACCCGUAAUCCGGGUUGCGGACAGUGUCUGGUGGGUAGUUUGACUGGGGCGGUCUCCUCCUAAAGAGUAACGGAGGAGCACGAAGGUUGGCUAAUCCUGGUCGGACAUCAGGAGGUUAGUGCAAUGGCAUAAGCCAGCUUGACUGCGAGCGUGACGGCGCGAGCAGGUGCGAAAGCAGGUCAUAGUGAUCCGGUGGUUCUGAAUGGAAGGGCCAUCGCUCAACGGAUAAAAGGUACUCCGGGGAUAACAGGCUGAUACCGCCCAAGAGUUCAUAUCGACGGCGGUGUUUGGCACCUCGAUGUCGGCUCAUCACAUCCUGGGCUGAAGUAGGUCCCAAGGGUAUGGCUGUUCGCCAUUUAAAGUGGUACGCGAGCUGGGUUUAGAACGUCGUGAGACAGUUCGGUCCCUAUCUGCCGUGGGCGCUGGAGAACUGAGGGGGGCUGCUCCUAGUACGAGAGGACCGGAGUGGACGCAUCACUGGUGUUCGGGUUGUCAUGCCAAUGGCACUGCCCGGUAGCUAAAUGCGGAAGAGAUAAGUGCUGAAAGCAUCUAAGCACGAAACUUGCCCCGAGAUGAGUUCUCCCUGACUCCUUGAGAGUCCUGAAGGAACGUUGAAGACGACGACGUUGAUAGGCCGGGUGUGUAAGCGCAGCGAUGCGUUGAGCUAACCGGUACUAAUGAACCGUGAGGCUUAACCUUACAACGCCGAAGGUGUUU